GACGAACGCUGGCGGCGUGCUUAACACAUGCAAGUCAAGGGGGCCCGCAAGGGUAACCGGCGAACGGGUGCGUAACACGUGAGCAAUCUGCCUCGAUGUGGGGAUAGCCGGCCCAACGGCCGGGUAAUACCGCAUACGCUCUCUGGGUGGCAUCACUUGGAGAGGAAACAUUUUUGGCAUUGAGAGGAGCUCGCGGCCUAUCAGCUAGUUGGUGGGGUAAUGGCCUACCAAGGCUUUGACGGGUAGCUGGUCUGGGAGGAUGGCCAGCCACAUUGGGACUGAGAUACGGCCCAGACUCCUACGGGAGGCAGCAGUGGGGGAAUAUUGCGCAAUGGCCGAAAAGGCUGACGCAGCGUCGCCGCGUGGGGGAGUGAAGCAUUCGGUGUGUAAACCCCU
Molecule: ribosomal RNA, 396 nt
Filed under: uncultured bacterium
Lineage: Bacteria
Description: bacterial SSU rRNA
Rfam family: Bacterial small subunit ribosomal RNA
Source: RNAcentral